AGAGUGAACGCUGGCGGUAGGCCUAACACAUGCAAGUCGAACGGCAGCACAGUAGGAGCUUGCUCUUACGGGUGGCGAGUGGCGGACGGGUGAGGAAUACAUCGGAAUCUACCUUUUGGUGGGGGAUAACGUAGGGAAACUUACGCUAAUACCGCAUACGCCCUUCGGGGGAAAGCCGGGACCAGCAAUGGCCUGGCGCUGAUAGAUGAGCCGAUGUCGGAUUAGCUAGUUGGUGAGGUAAUGGCUCACCAAGGCGACGAUCCGUAGCUGGUCUGAGAGGAUGAUCAGCCACACUGGAACUGAGACCACGGUCCAGACUCCGUAACGGGAGGCAGCCGAGGUGGGAAAUAGUUAGGAACAAGUGGGACGCGAAGCCUGACUCCAAGGCCAGUACCGGCGGUAGGUAGAAA
This 410-nucleotide ribosomal RNA is filed under the name uncultured soil bacterium. RNAcentral describes it as "bacterial SSU rRNA". It matches the Rfam family "Bacterial small subunit ribosomal RNA", at positions 26 to 413 of the family's 1533-position model. The record is from RNAcentral.